UACGUAGGCAGCGAGCGUUGUUCGGAAUUACUGGGCGUAAAGGGCUCGUAGGUGGCCAACUAAGUCAGACGUGAAAUCCCUCAGCUUAACUGGGGAACUGCGUCUGAUACUGGAUGGCUUGAGUUUGGGAGAGGGAUGCGGAAUUCCAGGUGUAGCGGUGAAAUGCGUAGAUAUCUGGAGGAACACCGGUGGCGAAGGCGGCAUCCUGGACCAACACUGACACUGAGGAGCGAAAGCCAGGGGAGCAAACGGG
RNAcentral lists this ribosomal RNA (253 nucleotides) under uncultured bacterium. Its description in RNAcentral is "partial 16S ribosomal RNA". It matches the Rfam family "Bacterial small subunit ribosomal RNA", at positions 524 to 776 of the family's 1533-position model. The record is from RNAcentral.